GGUUUGUGUUCCGCAAGACGGCCAUUUUUAUUGGGAUUGUCUAUUUGACAUUUGACUGAUUUCCUAUUGGAUAUCAUUCAAAUUUUCUGACCAAUAUCCGGUUGACAUCUGUAUAGCCCAAAACCACUGAUACUGUUCGUUCCCACUAAACGGGUUGGACUUAAAAAAAAGAAGACCCGGUUGUCAACUAAACCAAAAGAGCAAGAGAACCCCACGCAAUCCCUCCCAGCAGCUUCCCUGGACCACACCUGACAACAAAAAGUAGAAGCAAAAGAGCAAUUAAACAUCUCUGCUUGAACUCGCCUCCCAAGAAACAAAUAAAGUUACAGUGAGCAUACACAUAAAUGAAAAAGAAAUUACUUGAGAUUGUCAAGCCCUCCAUCAUCACUAGAGAUUUCCUGAAAUAAAAGUGAAGUGAACAUACACAUAAAUUUUAAAAUGAAAAGAAAUAAUUCAAAUUAAUUAAAACUAGGGAAGAAAAAGAAAUAAAUACCAAAGACAUAGGAUUAGAACCAUCAUCUGCAAGAUCAUUAGGCACAAACAGAUCAUUCAGAGAAUCUGCACUCUCAAGAGAAGAGACUAGUGGUACAUCCUUGUGAGAAACUUUCUGCAUUGAACCAAACCUAAACUCACAAAGGCAAAAAUCAUUAGGCAAAUGGAGCAGAACCAACACAAACACUAUAACCAACAAUCCCCAGACCUAGAUCUAGAAGCUACAAAACCACAAACCAGACAACUGAAUAUUAAACGCAUGGACAAAACAUGAGACUGUAAGCCAUGCAUGUCAUACUUUAACUACAGUUCUCAACCACACAGAUUACAGUGAAAAACUCUAGGGAAAUACACUGUAAGACUCUGGAGAAAUACAUAGUAAGUCAUACUGUAAUUACAGUCCUCAAGCACACAAAUUACAGUGUAAUACUCUACAGAAAAUACAGUGUAAAAGUCUGGUGAAUUACAUUGUAAGUCAUACUUUAAUUGCAGUCAAGCACACAAAUUAUAGUGUAAUACUCUAGGGAAAUACAGUGUAAAAGUCUGAUGAAUUAAAUUGUAAGUCAUACUGAAAUUACAGUCCUCAAGCACACAAAUUACAGUGUAAUACUCUAGGGAUAAGACAGUAAAAGUCUGAUGAAUUACAUUGUAAGUCAUACUGAAAUUACAGUCCUCAAACAUACAAAUUUACAAUGUAAGUCUAGGGAAAUACAAUGUAAAACUCUGGUGAAUUGCAUUGUAAGUCAUACAAAAAUUGCAUUGUAACCAUACAAAUUACAGUGUAAAACUCUAGGGAAAUACACUAUAAUUACAUGAGUGGUUGGGCUAAAUUUACAAAGUAAACUACACAGUGAUCUGGGAGUAUACACAGUGACUCCAGGGCAUAAAAACACUGUAAAUCUGGGCGAAUACACUGUAAAUUACAUGAGUAAUUGAGCUAAAUUACUGUGAACAUAAAUAGGACAAAUUACACAGUGAUUCCAGGCAUAAUAUACUGAAAAAUCUGCAUAUACACAGUACAUGAGUAAUUGGGCUAAAUUCCUGUGAACAUACUAGGACAAAUUACACAGUGAUUCCGGGCAUAAAUACAUUGAAAAAUCUUGCAUAUCUGGGAAUAUACACUGGAAUUAGGGGGGAAAUUACACAAUACUGAUAGCACAAAUUACACUGUAAUCGAACAAUAAAUAACACAGUAUUUGGGAGAAUGACACAGUAAUUACAGAUAUGGGAGAAUUACACUGUAAAGCAUGUUAAUUACACUGUAAAAAUGGCAGAAUUAUACUGCAAAAGGUGGGACAGUGAGGUUCUGCAAACCUAUUACACAGUAGUUACACUGUAAUUCUGGGGGUAUGAUCCACUGUACUUUUGAGCUACAUUACAUGUCUCGGGGGUAAAAUUACACAGUAAUAGAAGCAUCAAAUUCAGAGAGCUUCCUGGAACACAUUCAGACAUGCCUCAUCUACCAGGGGAAAAUCAUAAGCAGCCACCUGCAACUACAAAAAAGCAGGCCAGAUCAUCCCCAACUGUCACCUAACGGCAAGGGAACAGACACCCCAAGCUAGCAGAAAACAGGAAAUCACCCGCUGCAACAACCAGUACGCCUACCUCCACCAUCUACAGCACAAAAUAAAACAAAUCUAAAAGCCUACAUCCACAUCUACACAGCAAAACGGAAACCCUAGAACCCGCAACUACAAAAGCUCCUACACAACGCAGGCUAGCACAAAAGGGGGCGGGUGAAAUUGGGCGGAUUCACCAAGAACAACAAACAGAACAUCCACGAAGACGAGAACUCAGCUAGAUUUGGAACUACACGACCAGAGCACAAGCGGAAACACCUGGGGCCAGCGGGGGGAUUAGGGGAACCAACCUCGGCAGCCGGGGGCAAAGAGAAUAGGGAGGACAAAAUCAAAAUCGAACGGUGGAAUAGCUCGGAAUCGCCUCUCUCCUCCGCCUCUCUCCUUCGCCGCUCGAGCUCUCUCCCUCGGCCUUAUCGAAACAGAGCGACCCAAAUGAAAAGGGAGACGACACCCACUCGGAAAUUCAAGCAGGACAAAAACCAAUAGUACCGCGACGGGGCGGUUUCGGGUUGAGAU
This 2588-nucleotide long non-coding RNA is filed under the name Triticum aestivum (bread wheat). RNAcentral describes it as "long non-coding RNA (TAES_LNC025753)". Lineage: Eukaryota; Viridiplantae; Streptophyta; Magnoliopsida; Poales; Poaceae. The record is from RNAcentral.